This 898-nucleotide ribosomal RNA is filed under the name uncultured bacterium. RNAcentral's name for it is "bacterial SSU rRNA". It matches the Rfam family "Bacterial small subunit ribosomal RNA", at positions 8 to 916 of the family's 1533-position model. The record is from RNAcentral.
AGAGUUUGAUCCUGGCUCAGGGCGAACGCUAGCGGCGUGCCUAACACAUGCAAGUCGAGCGUGAUUGUAAGAAUUAGUUUACUAAUUCUUACAUGAAAGCGGCGGACGGGUGAGUAACGCGUGGGCAACCUGCCCUGUGGAAAGGGAUAGCCUCGGGAAACCGGGAUUAAUACCUUAUAACAUGGACUUUUCGCAUGAAGAGUUCAUCAAAGAUUUAUCGCCACAGGAUGGGCCCGCGUCCCAUUAGCUAGUUGGUGAGAUAACAGCUCACCAAGGCGACGAUGGGUAGCCGACCUGAGAGGGUGAUCGGCCACAUUGGGACUGAGACACGGCCCAAACUCCUACGGGAGGCAGCAGUGGGGAAUAUUGCGCAAUGGGGGAAACCCUGACGCAGCAACGCCGCGUGAGUGAAGAAGGUUUUCGGAUCGUAAAACUCUGUCUUUGGGGAAGAAUACAUGACGGUACCCAAGGAGGAAGCCCCGGCUAACUACGUGCCAGCAGCCGCGGUAAUACGUAGGGGGCAAGCGUUGUCCGGAAUUAUUGGGCGUAAAGGGCGUGUAGGCGGUAUCGUAAGUCAGGUGUGAAAGUUUGAGGCUCAACCUCAAAAUUGCACUUGAAACUGCAAUACUUGAGUACUGGAGAGGUAAGUGGAAUUCCUAGUGUAGCGGUGAAAUGCGUAGAUAUUAGGAGGAACACCAGUGGCGAAGGCGACUUACUGGACAGUUACUGACGCUGAGGCGCGAAAGCGUGGGGAGCAAACAGGAUUAGAUACCCUGGUAGUCCACGCCUUAAAAGAUGAUAGGUACAUGUGCGGGGAGAGUCAGUGCUGCGAGUUAUCACAGUAAGCUUUCCGCAUGGGGAGGACUGUGGCAAGACUGAAACUCAAAUGAAUUGACGG